CCAGGCGAACGGGUGAGUAACACGUGGGCAAUCUGCCCUUCACUCUGGGACAAGCCCUGGAAACGGGGUCUAAUACCGGAUAACACUCCUGCCUGCAUGGGCGGGGGUUAAAAGCUCCGGCGGUGAAGGAUGAGCCCGCGGCCUAUCAGCUUGUUGGUGGGGUAAUGGCCCACCAAGGCGACGACGGGUAGCCGGCCUGAGAGGGCGACCGGCCACACUGGGACUGAGACACGGCCCAGACUCCUACGGGAGGCAGCAGUGGGGAAUAUUGCACAAUGGGCGAAAGCCUGAUGCAGCGACGCCGCGUGAGGGAUGACGGCCUUCGGGUUGUAAACCUCUUUCAGCAGGGAAGAAGCGAAAGUGACGGUACCUGCAGAAGAAGCGCCGGCUAACUACGUGCCAGCAGCCGCGGUAAUACGUAGGGCGCAAGCGUUGUCCGGAAUUAUUGGGCGUAAAGAGCUCGUAGGCGGCUUGUCACGUCGGAUGUGAAAGCCCGAGGCUUAACCUCGGGUCUGCAUUCGAUACGGGCUAGCUAGAGUGUGGUAGGGGAGAUCGGAAUUCCUGGUGUAGCGGUGAAAUGCGCAGAUAUCAGGAGGAACACCGGUGGCGAAGGCGGAUCU
RNAcentral lists this ribosomal RNA (620 nucleotides) under Streptomyces sp. RNAcentral's name for it is "bacterial SSU rRNA". It matches the Rfam family "Bacterial small subunit ribosomal RNA", at positions 94 to 728 of the family's 1533-position model. Lineage: Bacteria; Bacillati; Actinomycetota; Actinomycetes; Kitasatosporales; Streptomycetaceae. The record is from RNAcentral.